GACGAACGCUGGCGGCGUGCUUAACACAUGCAAGUCGAACGGGCCUGUCUUCUUUUUUGGGGGUGGGUUGAGUGGCGAACGGGUGAGUAUCACGUGAGUAACCUGCCCUUCGGUCCUGGAUAACCGCUUGAAAGGGCGGCUAAUACGGGGUGGUCCGGUUGGUCCGCAUGGGCUGGUCGGGAUAGAUUCACUGUUUUUGGUGUUUCGGCGGGGGAUGGGCUCGCGGCCUAUCAGCUUGUUGGUGGGGUGAUGGCCUACCAAGGCGGUGACGGGUAGCCGGCCUGAGAGGGGGGGCGGCCACACUGGGACUGAGAUACGGCCCAGACUCCUGCGGGAGGCAGCAGUGGGGGGUAUUGCACAAUGGGCGGAAGCCUGAUGCAGCGACGUCGCGUGAGGGAUGGAGGCCUUCGGGUUGUGAACCUCUGUUUCCGGUGGUGAAGGCCCUGUCCGUGUGGUGGGGUUGACGGUAGCCGGGGAUGAAGCGCCGGCUAACUACGUG
This 499-nucleotide ribosomal RNA is filed under the name uncultured bacterium. RNAcentral's name for it is "partial 16S ribosomal RNA". It matches the Rfam family "Bacterial small subunit ribosomal RNA", at positions 28 to 507 of the family's 1533-position model. The record is from RNAcentral.